This 179-nucleotide non-coding RNA is filed under the name Planococcus rifietoensis. RNAcentral describes it as "Lysine sequence". It matches the Rfam family "Lysine riboswitch aptamer". Rfam says of the family: Riboswitches are metabolite binding domains within certain messenger RNAs that serve as precision sensors for their corresponding targets. Lineage: Bacteria; Bacillati; Bacillota; Bacilli; Caryophanales; Caryophanaceae. The record is from Rfam by way of RNAcentral.
AGCGAGGAUAGAGGCGCAAAAACCAUCAGUACGCAAUCCGAGGAGUAUGAGCUCUUAAGAAGAUUGCCGAAAGGGGGAUUUGCCGAAGCGGCAGGAUGCUCAUAUUCCUGUGCGCUGGUUCUGCACUGAAGAAGUGUCGGACUGUCAUAUAGGAAACUAUAUGGAGGGCUAUCUGACGA